RNAcentral lists this ribosomal RNA (445 nucleotides) under uncultured bacterium. RNAcentral's name for it is "partial 16S ribosomal RNA". It matches the Rfam family "Bacterial small subunit ribosomal RNA", at positions 354 to 796 of the family's 1533-position model. The record is from RNAcentral.
GUAAGGAAUAUUGGUCAAUGGACGAAAGUCUGAACCAGCCAUGCCGCGUGGAGGAUGAAGGUCCUCUGGAUUGUAAACUUCUUUUAUAUGGGACGAAAAUGGGGCUUUCUAGCUCAACUGACGGUACCAUAUGAAUAAGCACCGGCUAACUCCGUGCCAGCAGCCGCGGUAAUACGGAGGGUGCAAGCGUUAUCCGGAUUCACUGGGUUUAAAGGGUGCGUAGGUGGAUUGGUAAGUCAGAGGUGAAAUCUCCGGGCUCAACUCGGAAACUGCCUUUGAUACUAUCAAUCUUGAAUAUUGUGGAGGUUAGCGGAAUAUGUCAUGUAGCGGUGAAAUGCUUAGAUAUGACAUAGAACACCAAUUGCGACGUCAGCUUGCUACACAUAUAUUGACACUGAGGCACGAAAGCGUGGGGAUCAAACAGGAUUAGAUACCCUUGUAGUCC